GAAGGAAAUGCCACACAGGAAGAAAAUCUGCCUUUUGAAGAUGAACUAGAAGAAGAAGAUUACUAUCCAAGCUUGCCCUUUGCUGCAAUUUUUUCUUGUUUGAAGCUGUUCAGUUUUGCAGACCAAGGCAAGUUUGACUUGCAAAAGGUUUUGGUUUGUUGAUCAGGCCAAAGGUUUGAAGGUCACCUGCUUAUUAUACUACUGCUCAGAAGGGGACAACAUACCAGAUGCUUUCCAUUUGGCCGAGGCGGCGAGCAAACUUCUGGGGAUAAGUCCCAGUAAGUUCCAUGGCAAUGAAGGUGGUAAAUAUAUGGCUCAUUCCAUAUUCGUGGAAGACUGUGUAUGGACCACCCCAGAUAUAUGCAUGUUUUAGGCUGUAUUGAGCUGAUGACCUGAGAUUGGAUCUGCAAGAAUGAGGUGCUUCCUAAAUCUUCAUUCUUCUUCUUCUUACCUUAAGGUGGUUUUGAGUUAUG
Corylus avellana is the source of this 473-nucleotide non-coding RNA. The record is from RefSeq and is a predicted model, not a curated record. Lineage: Eukaryota; Viridiplantae; Streptophyta; Magnoliopsida; Fagales; Betulaceae.